CGCCUUCAGAUAUAUAAAUUGAAGGUCCAUUCUGCCCUAUGCCGAAAGGUAAAUGGCCGCGGUAACCUGACCGUGCUAAGGUAGCAUAAUAAUUUGCCAUUUAAUUGAUGGCUGGCAUGAACGAAUAUACGAGAGCAUCACUGUCUCUUAUUUAUAAACUAAAAAUUGACUUUCAAGUGAAGAGACUUGAAUUACCCAAAAAGACGAAAAGACCCUAUAGAGCUUUAUCUUAAAUUACUCUUUAAGUAACGAAGAUUUAGUUGGGGCAACUAGAGAGUUCUAAAACCUCUCUUUUUUAUUACACUCAAGAUCCAAUUUUUUGAUUAGUGGAAGAAGCUACCUUAGGGAUAACAGGCUAAUCCUGUUUGAGAGACCAUAUUGACAACAGGGCUUGGCACCUCGAUGUUGGCUCAAGGCUACAAUCUGAUGCAGCAGUCAGAUAAAGUAGGUUUGUUCACCCUUUAAUUCCUU
This 471-nucleotide ribosomal RNA is filed under the name Pseudopolydora pulchra. Its description in RNAcentral is "partial 16S ribosomal RNA". It matches the Rfam family "Bacterial large subunit ribosomal RNA", at positions 1819 to 2597 of the family's 2925-position model. Lineage: Eukaryota; Metazoa; Annelida; Polychaeta; Spionida; Spionidae. The record is from RNAcentral.